CGCGGCCUAUCAGCUUGUUGGUGGGGUAAUGGCCUACCAAGGCGACUACGGGUAGCCGGCCUGAGAGGGUGGACGGCCACAUUGGGACUGAGAUACGGCCCAGACUCCUACGGGAGGCAGCAGGGGGGAAUAUUGCACAAUGGGCGAAAGCCUGAUGCAGCGACGCCGCGUGAGGGAUGACGGCCUUCGGGUUGUAAACCUCUUUCAGCAGGGAAGAAGCUUUUGUGACGGUACCUGCAGAAGAAGCACCGGCUAACUACGUGCCAGCAGCCGCGGUAAUACGUACGGUGCGAGCGUUGACCGGAAUUAUUGGGCGUAAAGAGCUUGUAGGCGGUUUGUCGCGUCUGCUGUGAAAAUUCUCGGCUUAACCCUGGACGUGCAGUGGGUACGGGCAGACUAGAGUAUGGUAGGGGAGACUGGAAUUCCUGGUGUAGCGGUGGAAUGCGCUCAUAUCAGGAGGAACACCGAUGGGCAAGGCCCGGCUCUGGGCCAUUACUGACGCUGAGAAGCGAAGGCAUGGGGAGCGAACAAGAUUACAUACCCUGGCAGUCCAUGCCCUAUACGUUCGGCGCUAGGCGUCGUUCUCAUUCCAGCAGAUCCGUGUCCUAACUAACGCAUUACCCGCCCUGCCGGGGGAGUACGG
This 643-nucleotide ribosomal RNA is filed under the name uncultured bacterium. RNAcentral describes it as "bacterial SSU rRNA". It matches the Rfam family "Bacterial small subunit ribosomal RNA", at positions 232 to 885 of the family's 1533-position model. The record is from RNAcentral.